UAAGGUGAAAUAAAAGAAAUCCAACAAGUAUGAGUUAAAUAAAACCGCAUUAUUGAGAUAUCGACCUUGGGCGGCGACGUUGGCGGAAUUGAGAGGAGGACAGCGGCUGCUUCUGUUUUUUAUGGAGAAAUUAGGGCUCGACUGUUGUUCUCUUUCGUAUGUGAGUACGAAUUGGUGCUUGAGGUUGAGAGGAGAGAGUGAUCUGAGAUGAGGCAGAGCGACACCGCCCUAAGGACGGCGACAUCGCCGGAGUUCAAAGGGGAGGGGGGAUGGCCUGCGGCGAUUCUGAGGCAAAAUUAGGGCUCGUCCCUUCCUCCAUGUGUAAUUGAGAACACUAGAGGCAACGCCGACGGCGGGCACAACCUCGUCGGAGAGGAGCCGCGACGGCAACAGUUUCCAAGAGAAUAAUGAACUAGGGCUCGAUUCUUUGUGUGUGGACUCUGGAAUUAUAGUGAUUGAGAGAAGAAGAGGAAACGAACGGCGAUUGUGUCGGAUUUAGAGAAACUACGGCAGCGCCGGCUCACCCAAUUUCAGUGUAGCGGCACUGGACUUGAGAAGAGAGGAGCAGCCGACUGAUUUUGACGAGCGGAAGAAUGAAUUGAAAGAGGAAAAGGAA
This 616-nucleotide long non-coding RNA is filed under the name Salvia miltiorrhiza (redroot sage). RNAcentral's name for it is "long non-coding RNA (SMIL_LNC001854)". The record is from RNAcentral. Lineage: Eukaryota; Viridiplantae; Streptophyta; Magnoliopsida; Lamiales; Lamiaceae.